This 549-nucleotide ribosomal RNA is filed under the name uncultured Glomus. RNAcentral's name for it is "SSU rRNA". It matches the Rfam family "Eukaryotic small subunit ribosomal RNA", at positions 548 to 1098 of the family's 1831-position model. Lineage: Eukaryota; Fungi; Glomeromycota; Glomeromycetes; Glomerales; Glomeraceae. The record is from RNAcentral.
UUGGAGGGCAAGUCUGGUGCCAGCAGCCGCGGUAAUUCCAGCUCCAAUAGCGUAUAUUAAAGUUGUUGCAGUUAAAAAGCCCGUAGUUGAACUUCGGGACCGGUGGGUUGGUCGUGCCUCCGGUACGUACUGGCCCUACCAGUUCCUCCCUUCUGACGAACCACGAUGUCAUUAAUUUGGUGUCGUGGGGAAUCAGGACUGUUACUUUGAAAAAAUUAGAGUGUUUAAAGCAGGCUAAAGCUUGAAUAGAUUAGCAUGGAAUAACGAAAUAGGACGUUUGAUCUUAUUUUGUUGGUUUCUAAGAUCGACGUAAUGAUUAAUAGGGAUAGUUGGGGGCAUUAGUAUUCAAUUGUCAGAGGUGAAAUUCUUGGAUUUAUUGAAGACUAACUACUGCGAAAGCAUUUGCCAAGGAUGUUUUCAUUAAUCAAGAACGAAAGUUAGGGGAUCGAAGACGAUCAGAUACCGUCGUAGUCUUAACCAUAAACUAUGCCGACUAGGGAUCGGAUGAUGUUAAUUUUAUAAUGACUCAUUCGGCGCCUUACGGGAAAC